CGCCUCCUUAGGAACGGGAAGGAGCCCCGGCCCGGUGCACUGACGUAGUUUGCCUGAGAUCACGUAGCUGAUUGGUCACAGAAUCAUGACUUUAAUUCAUGUCUUCCGCCUCUGACCUGGCACGCUUUGUACCUCACCAAAGACAGUGAUGAAACUGCAAAAGGGCAGAGUGGAGAAGACUGGAAUGUUCAGCCAAGGCAUUUGAACUUUUAAUACUGCAAGUCAAGACUUCCUGAAGAUUUUUGAGCAGAUGAGUGAAGUGAUAAGAAAAUGCAUCUUCAGCAGUUACAGCAUCAACGAUGAGGAGACUGGCCGGGAGGCUAUUACCCGCAUCAAAACCAGUGAACAUUUAAAAAAAUUUUUUUUUAGAGAGAGGGUCUUGCUCUUUUGCCCAGACUGGAGUGCAGUGGCUUGACCAUAGUUCACUAUAACCUUGAAUUCCUGCGUUCAAGCGAUCUUCCUUCCUCAGCUUCCGGAGUAGCUGGGACUACAGAUGCGUGCCACCAUGCCAGGCCAAUUUUUAAUUUUGUUUUGUAAAGGUGGGGUUUCUGUGUUGCCCAGGUUGAUCUCAAACUCCUGUCCUCAAGCCAUCCUCCCGCCUCAGCCUCCCAAAGUGCUGCAAUUUACGGGCAUUAGCCACCGCACCUGGUCCAAAACCGGUGAAGAUUUGUUAAGGUGUUGGCAAUAUGGGUAUACCUAGAUUAUCCUUCAUCUGCUAAAAGCAUGCUCUAAUCUCUCCCCAGCCCAAAACAAACAAGAAACCCCUCUUCCCCUUCCAGCUCCUACCACGUGUCUUUGCUCCUCUGUAUGGCAAAAGUCAAGUGUUCAAAAUUCCUUAUCUUCAAUUCCUCUUCCUCCAUUCCCAAGUACACUACAGUCAGGCAUUCACACCACCAAAACUGCUCUUGCUGAGGCCACCAGUGCUGUAUUCAAAGGAUAAUCUUUGUUUUAUCAGCUGUAUUUGAUCCAGCAACUCAAGUUUUUCCUGUUUAGAACACCUUUCACCGGUCUUCUUGCUUCUCCAUAGUGCUGGUCAUAACCCUCAAAAGGUCCCCCAGUUCACUCAGGAUAAAAGCCAAGUCCUUACAAUAGACUACAGGGUGCUACAACAUCUGGUUCCUAUGGCUUUUCUGAUCUCAUUUCAUACUGUCUUUGCUCACUCCAUUGGGCCAAUCAAGUCCCACCUUGGGGAUUUUCCUUUGUUGUUUUGCCUGCCUAGGAAACUCCCCAGGUAUAUGAGUUUGCUAGAGUUGCCCUAACAAAUACCACAGACCAUGUGGCCUAAACAAAACUAGUUUAUUUUCUCGAAGUUCUGGAGGCUAGAAGUCCAAGAUCAAGGUGGGAUUCUGAGGCGUCUCUCCUUGGCUUGCCGAUGGCAGCCCUCUUACUUCUUCCUCUUCCCUCUGGUGUCUCUUCCUAUUCUUCUAACACCAGUCAGAUUGGAGUAUGGGGCUACCUUUAGCAGCCUCAUUUUAACUUAAUCACUGCUUUAAAGAUCUUAUCUCCAAAUACAGUAUAGUUAUAUUCUGAAGCACUAAAGGUUGAGACUUCAACAUGUAAAUUUUGGAGGGACACAAUUUAGCACAUAACACCCAGGUACCCACAAGAUGUGUUCCCUCACUUUAUUUGAGGCUUUGCUAAUCCCAGUGAAGUCCCUCCUCACUACCUUAUUUAAAAUUAAAACCUCCACCACCUUCCUUCCUUUAUUUCUCUCCUGCUUUAUUUCUGCUUAGCAGAUACAUACAUUACAAAUAUGUAAAUACUGUAAUUUACAUAUUUGUUUUGUUUAUUGUCUGCUCUGUUUCCUUCCACUUGCAUGUAAAUUCUGUGAAGAUUUGCUCAUUGAUGUAUUCGAAGACAUAAAACAGUGCAAAGUGUUUAGCAAGCAUUUAAUAAAUGUUUGUUGAAUGAAUGAAUGAAUACCUGAGGACAGAGGGAAAGAGACAACUGGAAAGGAAGAGACUGCAGUUGCUGUAGACAGAGGGGGUUGAUUACGAGAGCAAGAUUCCAGAGUAUCUGGAGGAAAAGGGGCAGCUCUGCCUUCCAUGUUGAAAGUAGAGCGUAGGAGGUACUCCUAGAGAGUAAGUUAUUUUGAAAAGUAGAGAAAACAGAUGAGCGAACUCAAACCAAUUGACCAUUAUCUACUCAACAAAAUAGGAGAUAAAAUCGCCCACCUAAAAGGGAUUAUGCUAGUUGGUAUGAGGAAGGUGUCAGAAAAUUAACAUAAGAUGAAAAAAUGAUUGUUAACUACCUGUUUGAAAUUAGUGUAUAUAUUUUAGUGGGCCUGGUCUUCAUGGUUUUGUAAUUUUUUCAAAAAAUGAUCAUGGCAUGAACAAGGCUAUUAAUCUGAGCUAAUGAAUUAGGAGUCUACUUGCCACCUGUAAAUACUGUGGAAGUUUUAUUUAUUCACUUAACAUUCAGGGAUUCCACAUGACCACCUGCAAAUAAUGAGAAUAAAGAUAUGAACAAAAUAGAUGUGGUUCCUGCCCUUCUGAAGGUUAACACCUAUAUAGUUAGGGAGACAGACAUUAACAAUCACACAUAUAUUAUUAAAACUAAGAUAAGUGCUAUGAUGAAAAAGGCACAGGCAGAAGAGCACAGUGGUGGAAAAUGCCAGUAAGGAGAGUCAAGCUUUAUACUUGGGAACAAAACACAAAUUUUCCAUUUUGGAAAAAAAAGCCUGAAUCGAAGUGUGCUGACUGGGAAAAUAAAUUAACGAGAGAAAAGAGAGUCUACCUGCUUUAGGACAGCAUGGAGGUUCACAGUGACUUUGUGGGAACUCUGGAACCUGGGUGCCUCAGGGAAAUGUAAGAAAGUGGGGACCGGGCAUGAGAGCUGGCCAGUAAGCUGGGCCAGGAAAAGAAGCUGGUGCUCAGGUACCCUGAGCCAGGGUUGCCCAAAACAACCAAGAUUCUACAACUGAGUGUGGCCCAGAAAAUCAGCAAAAUAGGUCUGAGAUUUAGAAACAGUAAGUUCAAUCCCUUAACAGAGAGAAACUGCAUCUGUUGAAAUGAUAUUUGAUUGUGAAUAACAAAAACCUUGCCAUAUAGUUGGUGAAGCAAGAAGUGGGUUUAUUUUUUUUAAUGACACCACAGCUCUACAGUGAUGUUUUAUUUAAACUUAUGCUCCUCUAUUUCUCCAUGCUUCAUGGGUGACUUUGUUCCUUUUGCCUAUCGUCUCACUGUUUUGGGAUGGCAACUCCAGUAUCAUUUCUUUAUUAUAGGUAGGACAAAGAGGAAUGACAAAAGGCAUGUAACCGCCUGAAUUUGCCCCUAUCAAAGAGCUCUCCAGGAAGCACCACCAAGGAAUUUUCACUGACAUUUCCCAGGCCAGACCAUGCUACUGCUAAACAAAAUGAAGAUUCUGCUAGUGAGGAUGAAAGGAAGAAUGUGUAAUCAGUUUUCUUGAAGUAUAGUACAUGUACAAUAAACUGAACCUAUUGGAAAUAUACAUUUGGAUGAGUUUUGACAGAUGUAUAUACCACAGUCAAGAUACAGAACAUUGUGAUCACUCCAAGAGAUUCCUUGUGUCCCUUUGUGGUCACUCCCUCCUACCCGAGGCCCCUAGGUAACCACUGAUCUGUUUUCCAUCACAAUAGAUUAGUCUGCAUAUUCUAGCAUCUUUAAUAAAUGCAGUCAUACAAUA
RNAcentral lists this non-coding RNA (3645 nucleotides) under Pongo abelii (Sumatran orangutan). The record is from RNAcentral. Lineage: Eukaryota; Metazoa; Chordata; Mammalia; Primates; Hominidae.